CCUACGGGUGGCAGCAGUCGAGAAUCAUUCACAAUGGGGGAAACCCUGAUGGUGCGACGCCGCGUGGGGGAAUGAAGGUCUUCGGAUUGUAAACCCCUGUCAUGUGGGAGCAAAUUAAAAAGAUAGUACCACAAGAGGAAGAGACGGCUAACUCUGUGCCAGCAGCCGCGGUAAUACAGAGGUCUCAAGCGUUGUUCGGAAUCACUGGGCGUAAAGCGUGCGUAGGCUGUUUCGUAAGUCGUGUGUGAAAGGCGCGGGCUCAACCCGCGGACGGCACAUGAUACUGCGAGACUAGAGUAGUGGAGGGGGAACCGGAAUUCUCGGUGUAGCAGUGAAAUGCGUAGAUAUCGAGAGGAACACUCGUGGCGAAGGCGGGUUCCUGGACAUUAACUGACGCUGAGGCACGAAGGCCAGGGGAGCGAAAGGGAUUAGAUACCCUGGUAGUC
Molecule: ribosomal RNA, 446 nt
Filed under: uncultured bacterium
Lineage: Bacteria
Description: partial 16S ribosomal RNA
Rfam family: Bacterial small subunit ribosomal RNA
Source: RNAcentral